RNAcentral lists this ribosomal RNA (379 nucleotides) under uncultured cyanobacterium. Its description in RNAcentral is "bacterial SSU rRNA". It matches the Rfam family "Bacterial small subunit ribosomal RNA", at positions 376 to 770 of the family's 1533-position model. Lineage: Bacteria; Bacillati; Cyanobacteriota. The record is from RNAcentral.
CGAAAGCCUGACGGAGCAACGCCGCGUGUGGGAAGAAGGCUCUUGGGCUGUCAACCACUUUUCUCAGGGAAGAAGUCCUGACGGUACCUGAGGAAUCAGCCUCGGCUAACUCCGUGCCAGCAGCCGCGGUAAUACGGAGGAGGCAAGCGUUAUCCGGAAUUAUUGGGCGUAAAGCGUCCGCAGGUGGUCUGGCAAGUCUGCUGUCAAAGACCGGGGCUUAACUCCGGAAAGGCAGUGGAAACUGCGAGACUAGAGUGCGGUAGGGGUAGAGGGAAUUCCCGGUGUAGCGGUGAAAUGCGUAGAGAUCGGGAAGAACAUCGGUGGCGAAAGCGCUCUACUGGGCCGCAACUGACACUCAGGGACGAAAGCUAGGGGAGCG